UGCAAGUCGAGCGGGGGAAGUUGCUUCGGUAACUGACCUAGCGGCGGACGGGUGAGUAAUACUUAGGAAUCUGCCUAUUAGUGGGGGACAACGUUUCGAAAGGAACGCUAAUACCGCAUACGUCCUACGGGAGAAAGCAGGGGAUCACUUGUGACCUUGCGCUAAUAGAUGAGCCUAAGUCGGAUUAGCUAGUUGGUGGGGUAAAGGCCUACCAAGGCGACGAUCUGUAGCGGGUCUGAGAGGAUGAUCCGCCACACUGGGACUGAGACACGGCCCAGACUCCUACGGGAGGCAGCAGUGGGGAAUAUUGGACAAUGGGGGGAACCCUGAUCCAGCCAUGCCGCGUGUGUGAAGAAGGCCUUAUGGUUGUAAAGCACUUUAAGCGAGGAGGAGGAGCUCUUGGUUAAUACCCAAGAUGCUUGGACGUUACUCGCAGAAUAAGCACCGGCUAACUCUGUGCCAGCAGCCGCGGUAAUACAGAGGGUGCGAGCGUUAAUCGGAUUUACUGGGCGUAAAGCGUGCGUAGGCGGCUUUUUAAGUCGGAUGUGAAAUCCCCGAGCUUAACUUGGGAAUUGCAUUCGAUACUGGGAAGCUAGAGUAUGGGAGAGGAUGGUAGAAUUCCAGGUGUAGCGGUGAAAUGCGUAGAGAUCUGGAGGAAUACCGAUGGCGAAGGCAGCCAUCUGGCCUAAUACUGACGCUGAGGUACGAAAGCAUGGGGAGCAAACAGGAUUAGAUACCCUGGUAGUCCAUGCCGUAAACGAUGUCUACUAGCCGUUGGGG
RNAcentral lists this ribosomal RNA (780 nucleotides) under Acinetobacter sp. P2G12. RNAcentral describes it as "bacterial SSU rRNA". It matches the Rfam family "Bacterial small subunit ribosomal RNA", at positions 56 to 828 of the family's 1533-position model. RNAcentral also lists the same sequence under 2 other names. The record is from RNAcentral. Lineage: Bacteria; Pseudomonadati; Pseudomonadota; Gammaproteobacteria; Moraxellales; Moraxellaceae.